This is a long non-coding RNA of Chiroxiphia lanceolata (lance-tailed manakin), 1410 nucleotides long. RefSeq lists it as uncharacterized. The transcript has 5 exons. The record is from RefSeq and is a predicted model, not a curated record. NCBI's taxonomy places the organism in Eukaryota, Metazoa, Chordata, Aves, Passeriformes, Pipridae.
ACAAAGUAUUGGGGCACCCAGGAGGGUGCACAAGGAAAGCAGCCAUUUACUGGUACUGUUAUUUGCACUGUGAUUUGGUACCUAGCUGGUCUGGGAAUACUGGCACCAAGGACCAGACAGUGGUUUGGACUUCUUUUAGUUAGGGAAAAAAAAGCCAACCAAGACUGUGUGCAAGGCAGUUUCUGAGCAAAGGAAUCACGAGCACCUGCUCUGGCUCUGCCCUCCCUUCUCCUACCACACUGGCUGUGACUGUGCCUCUGCACAGGCAUCCGAUGGAGCUGGCAUCUCAUGUUUUAGAGAAUAAACACAAGUAAAGGCAUCCUGGAUAAUAUCACUCAGAUAGCACCGAUUCAACUCCUGACCUGGCAGACAGUGCUGGGUGUCCCACCGUGCUCCAUUGAGUGCACUAAGCCUCACAUAAGCCCACUAAGCCACUGGGCUACUUUGGCUGGCUACGCUGAGCUGCUGGAGUAACCACACUGCUCCUGGGAUCCUACCCCAAAGGGGAUUGCUCCAGCCAACCCUGGAAGUCGGGAUGCCUCGGACAUGCCAUGAAGAAGCAGAGCUUGAGGGAGAUGCACAGCAUGUAGUGCCACGCUGCGGUCGCAGUUGCUGAGUGUCCGUGGGCUAGAAGCCUCUUGGGGUAUCACAACAACCCUCUCAAGAUGACUGUGCUGGAGCGCUAUGACUGAAUCAAGAUGAACAGACUCAGCCUCUCAGCCAGUUUGGAAACUGAGGCACAAAGAAAAGUGACUCACUCCAUAGCUAACUACCAGAAACUGUUCUAAGGGAUAGAAGCCUUGCAAGAAAAUGCAAUUUUUCAUUGAGCAAGAGGAGCUGACACAAGUACCCACUGUAUCCGUGAAAAGUUGACAGUGUUACAGAAUGAAGGCUGUGAAAACUGUCCCUGUGAAUAUCGGUGGAGACCACAUUUUGAGAGCAGCCAAUGCCUUCCCCUGCAGAGCUGAGCAGAGUCCGGUUGUAGCAGAUCUGCAAGUUUGCUGGUGAAAAUAGUCACUGCCUUAACAAUGUAUUUUUGCACUUUCAAUCAUCAGCUUUAGCUGUGCCACUCUCUGCAGUGGCACUGUCCAACUGUGGGCAACAGAGUUAAAGAAGAGUUGCCUGUGGUGACAGCUUUGUUUAAAGUUGUUUAUUCUGUAGAGUUUCUUGUUCUUUCUCCUAAUUCAAAAAUACCUUUGCCUAGAGAUUUUUUCAGUAAGUAAAUACCAUUUCCAACCAAGGAAAAGCAGCUGCAAAUGGAUCAGGUGCUGCACGUCUUAGGGAGAAAAGCUCAGCAGUGUCCAGCCCAGAUCUCACCUGGAUUCACUGUGAUCCUCCAAAAGGGCUGGGUAGCUCUGGAAAAGAAGAGUAUGAUUAAACCUUCCUGUGAUUGGUUCUUCCACUGUAAAA